RNAcentral lists this ribosomal RNA (122 nucleotides) under Escherichia coli. RNAcentral's name for it is "partial 23S ribosomal RNA". It matches the Rfam family "Bacterial large subunit ribosomal RNA", at positions 2813 to 2925 of the family's 2925-position model. Lineage: Bacteria; Pseudomonadati; Pseudomonadota; Gammaproteobacteria; Enterobacterales; Enterobacteriaceae. The record is from RNAcentral.
CCUUGAGAGUCCUGAAGGAACGUUGAAGACGACGACGUUGAUAGGCUGGGUGUGUAAGCGCAGCGAUGCGUUGAGCUAACCGGUACUAAUGAACCGUGAGGCUUAACCUUACAACGCCGAAG